RNAcentral lists this ribosomal RNA (450 nucleotides) under uncultured bacterium. RNAcentral describes it as "partial 16S ribosomal RNA". It matches the Rfam family "Bacterial small subunit ribosomal RNA", at positions 354 to 796 of the family's 1533-position model. The record is from RNAcentral.
GUGGGGAAUAUUCCGCAAUGGACGAAAGUCUGACGGAGCAACGCCGCGUGAGUGAUGAAGGUUUUCGGACUGUAAAGCUCUGUUGUUUGGGACGAAAGUGCCUGAUGCGAACAGUUACGGGUAUUGACGGUACUAAACGAGGAAGCCACGGCUAACUACGUGUCAGCAGCCGCGGUAAUACGUAGGUGGCAAGCGUUGUCCGGAAUUAUUGGGCGUAAAGAGCAUGUAGGCGGGAAUCUAAGUCUGUUGUUAAAAUGCGGGGCUCAACCCCGUAUUGCGAUGGAAACUGGGUUUCUUGAGUGCAGGGGAGGAAAGGGGAAUUCCCAGUGUAGCGGUGAAAUGCGUAGAUAUUGGGAGGAACACCAGUGGCGAAGGCGCCUUUCUGGACUGUGUCUGACGCUGAGAUGCGAAAGCCAGGGUAGCGAACGGGAUUAGAAACCCCUGUAGUCC